Molecule: ribosomal RNA, 301 nt
Filed under: uncultured bacterium
Lineage: Bacteria
Description: partial 16S ribosomal RNA
Rfam family: Bacterial small subunit ribosomal RNA
Source: RNAcentral
CGUAGCCACGGGAAUACAGAGGGUGCGAGCGUUAAUCGGAUUUACUGGGCGUAAAGCGUGCGUAGGCGGCUUCUUAAGUCGGAUGUGAAAUCCCUGAGCUUAACUUAGGAAUUGCAUUCGAUACUGGGAAGCUAGAGUAUGGGAGAGGAUGGUAGAAUUCCAGGUGUAGCGGUGAAAUGCGUAGAGAUCUGGAGGAAUACCGAUGGCGAAGGCAGCCAUCUGGCCUAAUACUGACGCUGAGGUACGAAAGCAUGGGGAGCAAACAGGAUUAGAUACCCGUGUAGUCCCUGUCUCUUAUACA